ACGGGAGUGGCAAGCGUUAUCCGGAAUUAUUGGGCGUAAAGCGUCCGCAGGCGGUCUUGAAAGUCUGUUGUUAAAGCGUGGAGCUCAACUCCAUUUCAGCAAUGGAAACUAGAAGACUAGAGUGUGGUAGGGGCAGAGGGAAUUCCCGGUGUAGCGGUGAAAUGCGUAGAUAUCGGGAAGAACACCAGUGGCGAAGGCGCUCUGCUGGGCCAUAACUGACGCUCAUGGACGAAAGCCAGGGGAGCAAACAGG
RNAcentral lists this ribosomal RNA (252 nucleotides) under uncultured bacterium. RNAcentral's name for it is "partial 16S ribosomal RNA". It matches the Rfam family "Bacterial small subunit ribosomal RNA", at positions 525 to 776 of the family's 1533-position model. The record is from RNAcentral.